This 107-nucleotide small nuclear RNA is filed under the name Vombatus ursinus (common wombat). Lineage: Eukaryota; Metazoa; Chordata; Mammalia; Diprotodontia; Vombatidae. The record is from RNAcentral.
GUGCUAGCUUUGGCAGCACAUAUACUAAAAUUGCAAUGAUACAGAGAAGAUUAGCAUGGCUCCUGCACAAAGAUAACAUGCAAAUUCGUGAAGCAUUCCAUAUUUUU